UGUUCAUUGGUUGCGUCAGUCACGCCCAUGUGCGAGGGGAUUUGCUGCCCAAUCUCCGCAUGACCCGACCGCGUCUCCUCUCACGUUGUGGAAGUCCCCAGGCCCCCAGCCCCCACGGGACAAACCCUAGCCUCACCAAGCCCCACAGCACGUAGUCCUCCCUCCUCCUCCAUCCUCGUUAGCAGCCGCCGCCAUUCUGCCUCCCUCCUCUCUGUCCUACGACCAUGCUGCCGGGAGGAAGCUAUUGUUCGUGGUGCCAUACCGCAGCCGGGGUGCUGCACAAGAGGCCAGGGGCCGCCGCCACCGCGAGCCAUGGGACGCCCGUCGAUGAGCCUUCGGGCAGGAAGCCCGCAUCGAGCACGCCAUCAACAAGCCGCCAGGACGACCUACUGGCCGGUCCCGCGUCGUCGAGCAAGGGCCCUGGUUGCACCGUCGUGGAGGAGGCGCACCAUUAAGGAGUAGCAAUGCCGUCGAACUCCCUCUUCCCUUCUGUCUGCACCUUCCCUAUGAGCUUUUCUUCCAUUCCCUUGCUUUGCCUCUCCUCCUGCUCACUCUCCCUUCCGUGCUCCUCAGCUUUCUUUCGAUUUGCUUGUGCCUGCAGGUCCAUGGACAUUGUUAGAAUGGUUAAUUUAUUCCAGUGUAUUAUUUUCAGAGAUCAUGUUUGUUUAAGACUCCAUGGCAAUUCUCAAGAAUUUCUGUUUUUAGUUGCUUGGCUAAUGUGUUAAAGUGCAUAUGCUCGAGUUUGGUCACUUUUGAUGAUUUUUUCAGUAUGCUAUAAUUUGUUCACUUUUGAGAUUCAAUUAUAUUAGCAUAGUCUUCUCCCGGAGCAGCAAAAUGGAGGACAAAAAUGUCAGCUCUGAUGUGCGUCAGGCUCAACGAUGCCUGCCUCCUUGCCCCUCCCUAAACGACAUGGUCCUCUUCAGUUUGCAGGUUGCCACUUCCUCUGUUCUCAUUGAUUUUCUUCGAACGGUGUACUGAUCCACACUGAAUGUGUAUGAAAAUGUUUUUGCUGGGGCAUUUGUGCACCAAGCAAAUGGGUAAGGAAAUUGGAGAACUGGGAUCUAACAUUGUUAGUCAAGUGUCUAGGUGAACAAUUUGUGGCCAGCAUGGAAAAGACAUCUCGUGAAAAUCUAGGUAUGAGAUGUCUUUUUGCAUCCAGUGUUCUUGCAUAUUAGUAUGUUGUGGUGUUGUGAAAAAAACAUAUGUCAGUCCUGGAGUACAAAUAAGUUUACAUUUGCUUUUAUUUUGGUCAUUUUGUUUAUGUGUUUUGUUCAAUGCAAUUGCUUCUAUACAUAUCAAGAGUUAGGCUUAGGCUCCACUGGAUAAAAGUUUUGGCUCUUGUUUCUCAAGUUCUAUAGACGUUAGAGGAGUAAUUAGCAUUCUCUUUCUUCCGAAUGGGUGUAUGUGGAUGCAUACAGAUAGUAGAGGAGCAAUUUCCAUCCUCUAUUUUUUUACCGACCAUAUGUGGAUGUGCAUAAAUUGUUCUUUGUUUUUUAACGAGUAAAUGUUGAUGCACAUAAAAUUGAUAUGGUGGGUUCCAUUCUGUUUUAUAUGCAUGCCAAUUCAUUAGCUAAUUAAUUCAGCUCCAUUGAAGUAAUUAUAGUUGUAGCUCAUUCUUAUCAUUGUUAAGAGGUAAAUGGAAUGAAUCAUCAUACAACAGCCACUUGAAUAAAUCUGUUUAAAUGCUUUGUUUCUCUCUCAAACCGUUUGCCUUAUCUGAAUUACCAUUGAACCAUGGUAUUGUUUUAUUAAUGUACCAGUAGAAGCGUCACUCUAGAAACUCCUCCAACAUGCUGAGAAGAGUUGGUUCUCAUCUCAAAGACGCUGAAAUCAAAAUUGUGGAGGUUCAGAAGGUAAAGCAAUCACCAUUACCCAGGGAGGGAUGCCGCAUCAAUCAGAUGCUAACCUUCUUCACAAACUCAUCACCGAAACUGUAGAUUGAUCAGGUUCACCUGCUCUACAUAGGUUACAAACAGUAUGGUAUCUUUUCUGCUAUGGGUGCUUUGACAAAUAAAAUGCAAUGUCGCUUUUGAUGUUGAGAGAAUAUCCAAUUGAGCAUCUUUCCGCAAUAAAAAUUAGACAGGAAGGGUAUGAGGGAGGGGUGUAUUAAAUCCGUAUGAGUGGAUGUUAAAUCCAUGGAUGAAGAAACAAAUAGAAAGGAAGUAAAUCAUAGGAAGAAGAGAUAGGUAGGUUUUACAAGUACAAGUGAAGGCCAGUUGGCUGGAGCAAAACCAAUAUGUUGCUUCACCGAGCUACUGAGAAAGGAGAAGAAAAAAGAGAAAGCUGACUCAUUAUGUAUUCAGGCCUCUUGACAUUCUCCUCUAAUUGGGCCUAAUCCUGUUAAGCCUUCAUGAGCCAAGUAUGGUGGAUUCUUAGAUGACAACUUGAUAUGUAGUUCUCCUAUUACAGUGCUUCGAUCAGUUAAUACUCCCUCUGUUGUGAAGUUUAUGUGAAGUGUGUUCGUGCCAUUAAAGAAUUUAUUAUUUCUAUGAA
Long non-coding RNA from Triticum aestivum (bread wheat), 2493 nucleotides. RefSeq lists it as uncharacterized. The record is from RefSeq and is a predicted model, not a curated record. The transcript is spliced from 2 exons. NCBI's taxonomy places the organism in Eukaryota, Viridiplantae, Streptophyta, Magnoliopsida, Poales, Poaceae.